Molecule: ribosomal RNA, 722 nt
Filed under: Photinus curtatus
Lineage: Eukaryota; Metazoa; Arthropoda; Insecta; Coleoptera; Lampyridae
Description: SSU rRNA
Rfam family: Eukaryotic small subunit ribosomal RNA
Source: RNAcentral
UCGUAGUCGAAAUUGUGUCCUCGGCCGCCGGUUCGUCGCUCGCGACGCCAACUGGCGCGCACCGCUGGACGUCCAGCCGGUACAACGAACUCGCCUACGGGGUGCUCUUAACCGAGUGUCCAGGCGGGGGCCGGCAACGUUACUUUGAACAAAUUAAAGUGCUUAAAGCAGGCUAAAUUGCGCUCGCAUACACGCGCAUGGAAUAAUCGAAUAGGACCUCCGUUCUAUUUUGUUGGGUUUUUGUGGAACGACAGACGGAGGUAAUGAUCAAUGGGUGCGGAUGGGGGCAUUCGUAUUGCGACGUUAGAGGUGAAAUUCUUGGAUCGUCGCAAGACGGACUUAAGCGAAAGCAUUUGCCAAAAACGCUUUCAUCGAUCAAGAACGAAAGUUAGAGGUUCGAAGGCGAUCAGAUACCGCCCUAGUUCUAACCAUAAACUAUGCCAGCUAGCGAUCCGCCGAAGUUACUUCUAUGACUCGGCGGGCAGCUUCCGGGAAACCAAAGCUUUCGGGUUCCGGGGGAAGUAUGGUUGCAAAGCUGAAACUUAAAGGAAUUGACGGAAGGGCACCACCAGGAGUGGAGCCUGCGGCUUAAUUUGACUCAACACGGGAAACCUCACCAGGCCCGGACACCGGAAGGAUUGACAGAUUGAGAGCUCUUUCUUGAUUCGGUGGGUGGUGGUGCAUGGCCGUUCUUAGUUGGUGGAGCGAUUUGUCUGGUUAAU